This 638-nucleotide small RNA is filed under the name Cryptococcus neoformans H99. Its description in RNAcentral is "Cryptococcus neoformans var. grubii H99 hypothetical RNA". Lineage: Eukaryota; Fungi; Basidiomycota; Tremellomycetes; Tremellales; Cryptococcaceae. The record is from RNAcentral.
UUUUUCUCGAUCAAAUCCUUGUUUAUGUCGCAUCAACACCACAUUUUUGUCCUCUCGCUGUGCAUGAGAUAUUCUGACUUACGUCUAAUAUCUUUUAAAUGUAUUAUUUACCCAUUUUGACAUCAACAGGGUUAUAACGCCAACAGCGCCAAUCACUUACUGUACUUCUGUCACCUCACGAUGCCCCCAAAUGGCGCACCAAAAUGAGCUCGAAGAUCUCGAAGAUGUAUUGGAUGCUCAGGACUUAAGGGAACCAGAUCAUCAUUUGUUGACAAGAGGAUAUAUGAGUUCCGACGGCAUCAGCAAGAGGGACAUGAUCAUCCUUGACUCACCUCCAUGAUAGGCAUAUUGUAAUCUUCAAUAGACAUGGGACCGUGAAUAAUUCAGAACGAAAGCCACCAAGUUCUUGGAAUCGAAAAUGUUGGAGAUAGAAGAUACCAAGACUUCAUGAUCUGCUGUUUAUAUAUUAAAGCAGUAUGAGCGCUGGGAUUUUUAAUUCAACGUCCACACAGUAACAUUACCUUUGCUGACUUGAGCGCAAAGCUAAUAGUGGACGUUGGUGAUGUUCAUUUACCGAUGGCGAUCAAUGGUUUGGCCUUCUGGAAAUAACAGUCCAUAGGUACUAGAAAAUGCCAGAU